CAACCUGAGAGUUUGAUCCUGGCUCAGAGCGAACGCUGGCGGCAGGCCUAAUACAUGCAAGUCGAGCGAGCCCUUCGGGGCUAGCGGCGGACGGGUGAGUAACGCGUGGGAACGUGCCCUUUGGUACGGAACAACUGAGGGAAACUUCAGCUAAUACCGUAUGUGCCCUUCGGGGGAAAGAUUUAUCGCCAUUGGAGCGGCCCGCGUUGGAUUAGGUAGUUGGUGAGGUAAAGGCUCACCAAGCCUACGAUCCAUAGCUGGUCUGAGAGGAUGACCAGCCACACUGGGACUGAGACACGGCCCAGACUCCUACGGGAGGCAGCAGUAGGGAAUCUUGCGCAAUGGGCGAAAGCCUGACGCAGCCAUGCCGCGUGAAUGAUGAAGGUCUUAGGAUUGUAAAAUUCUUUCACCGGGGA
RNAcentral lists this ribosomal RNA (416 nucleotides) under Phenylobacterium sp. RNAcentral's name for it is "bacterial SSU rRNA". It matches the Rfam family "Bacterial small subunit ribosomal RNA", at positions 1 to 445 of the family's 1533-position model. Lineage: Bacteria; Pseudomonadati; Pseudomonadota; Alphaproteobacteria; Caulobacterales; Caulobacteraceae. The record is from RNAcentral.